This 64-nucleotide transfer RNA is filed under the name Curculionoidea sp. 14 KM-2017. RNAcentral's name for it is "tRNA-Arg". Lineage: Eukaryota; Metazoa; Arthropoda; Insecta; Coleoptera. The record is from RNAcentral.
AAUAAGAAGCAAAAAAUUGCCUUUAGUUUCGACCUAAAAAUUUGAUGUUCACUCAUCCUUAUUU